GACGAACGCUGGCGGCGUGCUUAACACAUGCAAGUCGAACGGAAAGGCCCUGCUUUUGUGGGGUGCUCGAGUGGCGAACGGGUGAGUAACACGUGAGUAACCUGCCCUUGACUUUGGGAUAACUUCAGGAAACUGGGGCUAAUACCGGAUAGGAGCUCCUGCUGCAUGGUGGGGGUUGGAAAGUUUCGGCGGUUGGGGAUGGACUCGCGGCUUAUCAGCUUGUUGGUGGGGUAGUGGCUUACCAAGGCUUUGACGGGUAGCCGGCCUGAGAGGGUGACCGGGCACAUUGGGACUGAGAUACGGCCCAGACUGCAACGGGAGGCAGCAGUGGGGAAUAUUGCACAAUGGGCGGAAGCCUGAUGCAGCAACGCCGCGUGCGGGAUGACGGCCUUCGGGUUGUAAACCGCUUUCGCCUGUGACGAAGCGUGAGUGACGGUAAUGGGUAAAGAAGCACCGGCUAACUACGUG
This 468-nucleotide ribosomal RNA is filed under the name uncultured bacterium. RNAcentral describes it as "partial 16S ribosomal RNA". It matches the Rfam family "Bacterial small subunit ribosomal RNA", at positions 28 to 507 of the family's 1533-position model. The record is from RNAcentral.